RNAcentral lists this transfer RNA (105 nucleotides) under Mustela putorius furo (domestic ferret). It matches the Rfam family "tRNA". From Rfam's summary of the family: Transfer RNA (tRNA) molecules are approximately 80 nucleotides in length. Their secondary structure includes four short double-helical elements and three loops (D, anti-codon, and T loops). The record is from Rfam by way of RNAcentral. Lineage: Eukaryota; Metazoa; Chordata; Mammalia; Carnivora; Mustelidae.
GUCAGGAUGGCCGAGUGGUCUAAGGCGCCAGACUCAAGCACAGCUUCCCGUCCUGGGACUUCUGGUCUCCGCAUGGAGGCGUGGGUUCGAAUCCCACUUCUGACA